GGGGCCGAUUAGGAUUCGACGCCGGUAGCGAAACUCUAGGUGCAUGCCGAGUUGGUAACAGAACUCGUAAAUCCACUGUUGCAACUUUCUAUAGUUGCCAAUGACAAUACCUUCGGCUUGGAGAAAGAAGUCGCUUUCGCGGCUUAAUCUGAUCCAUAGCUUCUGGUAGCUUCGGCUCCAGCAAUCAUCAGGGGAUGCCUGUAAACCCGAAAUGAUUGUCAUACAGAACAGGAUCGUCGUGCAGCACGUUGGGGGCGAAGCGACUAAAACUUACCCAACUCAUCCAAAGCACCCUGCCCGUCGGGCGGCUGCGGAUUAAAUCAGUAGACACGGCUAAGCAUGUAGUACCGACAGCGGAGUACUGGCGGACGGGGGUUCAAAUCCCCCCGGCUCCACCA
RNAcentral lists this transfer-messenger RNA (398 nucleotides) under Pseudomonadaceae. RNAcentral's name for it is "Pseudomonas_E peradeniyensis Standard tmRNA". It matches the Rfam family "transfer-messenger RNA". From Rfam's summary of the family: Bacterial tmRNA, also known as 10Sa RNA or SsrA, is named for its dual tRNA and mRNA-like properties. RNAcentral also lists the same sequence under 1 other name. The record is from RNAcentral. Lineage: Bacteria; Pseudomonadati; Pseudomonadota; Gammaproteobacteria; Pseudomonadales.